UGGACCUCAGGUCAGGCGAGAUGACCCG
Molecule: ribosomal RNA, 28 nt
Filed under: Dragmacidon reticulatum
Lineage: Eukaryota; Metazoa; Porifera; Demospongiae; Axinellida; Axinellidae
Description: partial 28S ribosomal RNA
Source: RNAcentral